Molecule: ribosomal RNA, 465 nt
Filed under: Vreelandella stevensii
Lineage: Bacteria; Pseudomonadati; Pseudomonadota; Gammaproteobacteria; Oceanospirillales; Halomonadaceae
Description: partial 16S ribosomal RNA
Rfam family: Bacterial small subunit ribosomal RNA
Source: RNAcentral
CCUACGGGAGGCUGCAGUGGGGAAUAUUGGACAAUGGGCGAAAGCCUGAUCCAGCCAUGCCGCGUGUGUGAAGAAGGCCUUCGGGUUGUAAAGCACUUUCAGUGGGGAAGAAAGCCUUGGGGCUAAUACCCUCGAGGAAGGACAUCACCCACAGAAGAAGCACCGGCUAACUCCGUGCCAGCAGCCGCGGUAAUACGGAGGGUGCGAGCGUUAAUCGGAAUUACUGGGCGUAAAGCGCGCGUAGGCGGUCUGAUAAGCCGGUUGUGAAAGCCCCGGGCUCAACCUGGGAACGGCAUCCGGAACUGUCAGGCUAGAGUGCAGGAGAGGAAGGUAGAAUUCCCGGUGUAGCGGUGACAUGCGUAGAGAUCGGGAGGAAUACCAGUGGCGAAGGCGGCCUUCUGGACUGACACUGACGCUGAGGUGCGAAAGCGUGGGUAGCAAACAGGAUUAGAUACCCCGGUAGUC